UCAAGCUACUAAGGGCGUAUGGUGGAUGCCUUGGCGCCAACAGGCGAUGAAGGACGUGGUUAGCUGCGAUAAGCUUCGGGGAGCCGCAAACAGGCUUUGAUCCGGAGAUCUCCGAAUGGGGAAACCCCGCCGAGCGAACCUCGGCGACGGCCCGCUGAAUCCAUAGGCGGGUGCGAGCGAACCCGGGGAAGUGAACCAUCUCAGUACCCGGAGGAAAAAAAAGAAACCUCGAUUCCGAAAGUAGUGGCGAGCGAAAUCGGAACAGCCCAAAUCCCGGGCCCCGCUUGCGGGGCGCGGGAGGUUGUAGGGCCCGCAACAGUAGAGUUACCAAUCCGGCCGCUAGCCGAACCCGCUGGAAAGCGGGGCCGUAGCGCGUGAUAGCCGCGUAGGCGAAAGCGGACCGGACUCGAAGCGGGUUCCUGAGUACCGCGGGACACGUGAAAUCCUGUGGGAAUCUGGGAGGACCAUCUCCCAAGGCUAAAUACUCGUUGGCGACCGAUAGUGAACCAGUACCGUGAGGGAAAGGUGAAAAGCACCCCUGCGAGGGGAGUGAAAUAGUACCUGAAACCGUAUGCCUACAAACGGUGGAAGGGCCAUGGAACGCCGCAAGGCGCCUCCGGCCUGACCGCGUGCCUAUUGCAUAAUGAGCCGGCUAGUUAUUCUCACGAGCGAGGUUAAGCGCUCAGCGAGCCGCAGCGAAAGCGAGUCCUAAUCGGGCGACAGUUCGUGGGAAUAGACGCGAAGCGGGAUGAUCUACCCUUGGCCAGGAUGAAAGGUGGGUAACACCACCCGGAGGUCCGAACCAGUGUUGGUUGAAAACAGCUUGGAUGAGCUGAGGGUAGGGGUGAAAGGCUAAUCAAAUUCCGUAAUUGCUCGUUCUCUCCGAAAUAGCUUUAGGGCUAGCCUUGCGUGAAUCGCAGCGGGGGUAAAGUACUCGAUGGACUAGGGGCGUUUCCGCGUUACCGAAUCCAACGAAACUCUGAAUACCGCUGACGCAUGCGCAGGAGUCAGACGGCGGGGGCUAAGCUUCGUCGUCGAGAGGGAAACAGCCCAGAUCGCCUGCUAAGGCCCCCAAGCGCCAGCUAAGUGGGAAAGGAAGUCGGAACUCCUAGACAGCCAGGAGGUUGGCUUAGAAGCAGCCAUCCUUUAAAGAAAGCGUAAUAGCUCACUGGUCAAGAGGUCCGGUGCCGACAAUUCAACGGGGCUCAAGCUGGCCGCCGAAGCAGCGGAUGCGUCGCGCGCAAGCGCGACGCUUGGUAGGAGAGCGUUCUCAGCCAUGAAGGCCGACCGUAAGGACGGCUACUGCGGCUGGGAAGAGACCCUGCCGGCAUAAGUAGCGAUAAACCAUGUGAGAACCAUGGUCGCCGAAAGUCUAAGGUUUCCUGAGGAAGGUUAAUCCGCUCAGGGUUAGUCGGUCCCUAAGGCGAGGCCGAAAGGCGUAGCCGAUGGACAUCGGGUCAAUAUUCCCGAACUUGCAGCAGCUCGUUAUUACGACGCGGGGACGCGGAAGGCUGGCGGAGACGGCGGAUGGUUGUGCCGUUGAUGCGCCGCAAGCGGGUCCGGCUAGGCAAAUCCGGCCGGGCAUCCCAAACCGUGAGGGCGCGGACCAGGGCGUACGCCCACAAAGUCCGUGAGGCCACGCCGCCAAGAAAAGCCGCUAAGGAGAGCUGCCGCAAACCGUACCCCAAACCGACACAGGUAGACGAGGAGAGUAUCCACAGGCGCUCGAGAGAACACUCGUUCAGGAACUCGGCAAAUUCGUCCCGUAACUUCGGGAGAAGGGACGCCCCGGUAGGGUUCAUAGCCCGAGGGGGCCGCAGUGAAAUGCAUCAGGCGACUGUUUAACAAAAACACAGGUCUCUGCAAAGUCGAAUACGACGUAUAGGGGCUGACGCCUGCCCGGUGCUGGAAGGUUAAAGGGAGGGGUCAUCCCGCCGCAAGGCGGGGGCAGCUCCGAACUGAAGCCCCAGUGAACGGCGGCCGUAACUAUAACGGUCCUAAGGUAGCGAAAUUCCUUGUCGGGUAAGUUCCGACCUGCACGAAUGGCGUAACGAUCUGAUGACUGUCUUAACGAGUGGCUCGGCGAACUUGUAGUUCCGGUGAAGAUGCCGGUUGCCCGCAUCUAGACGGAAAGACCCCGUGCACCUUUACUGUACCUUAACAGUGAGCUAUAGAACGGUCUGCGUAGCAUAGGUAGGAGGCUUGGAACCCUGGGUUUUGGCUUGGGGGGAGCCGCCAGUGAAAUACUACCCUGAUCGUUCCGUGGCUCUCACCUACCCCCGUCAUCCGGGGGAGGGACCCUGUUAGGCGGGCAGUUUGACUGGGGCGGUCGCCUCCUAAAUUGUAACGGAGGCGCGCGAUGCUUGGCUCAGGCUGUUUGGAAAUCAGCCGACGAGCGUAAAGGCAUAAGCCAGGUUGACUGCGAGACCUACAAGUCGAGCAGGUGCGAAAGCAGGCCUUAGUGAUCCGGUGGUUCCACAUGGAAGGGCCAUCGCUCAACGGAUAAAAGGUACGCCGGGGAUAACAGGCUGAUCGGAGCCAAGAGUUCAUAUCGACGCUCCGGUUUGGCACCUCGAUGUCGGCUCAUCGCAUCCUGGAGCUGUAGAAGGUUCCAAGGGUUGGGCUGUUCGCCCAUUAAAGCGGUACGUGAGCUGGGUUCAGAACGUCGCGAGACAGUUCGGUCCCUAUCUGAUGUGGGCGGAGGAGAUUUGCGGGGUCCUGUCCUUAGUACGAGAGGACCGGGAUGGACGAACCUCUUGUGUUCCAGUUGUCGCGCCAGCGGCACCGCUGGGUAGCGAAGUUCGGUCGGGAUAAGCGCUGAAUGCAUAUAAGCGCGAAGCCCUCCCCAAGAUGAGAUCUCCCAACCCCUCAAGGGGUAUGAAGGCCACGGGAAGACGACCCGUUCGAUAGGCGGGAUGUAGAAGUCCGGCAACGGAUGCAGCUAACCCGUACUAAUCGGCCGUUCGGCUUGACCAC
This 2976-nucleotide ribosomal RNA is filed under the name soil metagenome. RNAcentral describes it as "bacterial LSU rRNA". It matches the Rfam family "Bacterial large subunit ribosomal RNA". The record is from RNAcentral.